This 971-nucleotide ribosomal RNA is filed under the name Aliiglaciecola lipolytica. Its description in RNAcentral is "bacterial SSU rRNA". It matches the Rfam family "Bacterial small subunit ribosomal RNA", at positions 90 to 1061 of the family's 1533-position model. The record is from RNAcentral. Lineage: Bacteria; Pseudomonadati; Pseudomonadota; Gammaproteobacteria; Alteromonadales; Alteromonadaceae.
GACGAGUGGCGGACGGGUGAGUAAUACUUAGGAACAUGCCUUUGUGUGGGGGAUAACCAUUGGAAACGAUGGCUAAUACCGCAUAAUGUCUUUGGACCAAAGAGGGCUUUCGGGCUCUCGCGCAAAGAGUGGCCUAAGUGAGAUUAGCUUGUUGGUGAGGUAAAGGCUCACCAAGGCGACGAUCUCUAGCUGUUCUGAGAGGAAGAUCAGCCACACUGGGACUGAGACACGGCCCAGACUCCUACGGGAGGCAGCAGUGGGGAAUAUUGCACAAUGGGGGCAACCCUGAUGCAGCCAUGCCGCGUGUGUGAAGAAGGCCUUCGGGUUGUAAAGCACUUUCAGUUGUGAGGAAAGGUUGAUGGUUAAUACCCAUCAGCUGUGACGUUAGCAACAGAAGAAGCACCGGCUAACUCCGUGCCAGCAGCCGCGGUAAUACGGAGGGUGCGAGCGUUAAUCGGAAUUACUGGGCGUAAAGCGCACGCAGGCGGUUAUAUAAGCUAGAUGUGAAAGCCCCGGGCUCAACCUGGGAAUAGCAUUUAGAACUGUAUGACUAGAGUCUUGGAGAGGGGAGUGGAAUUCCAGGUGUAGCGGUGAAAUGCGUAGAUAUCUGGAGGAACAUCAGUGGCGAAGGCGACUCCCUGGCCAAAGACUGACGCUCAUGUGCGAAAGUGUGGGUAGCGAACAGGAUUAGAUACCCUGGUAGUCCACACCGUAAACGCUGUCUACUAGCUGUUUGUGUAUUAUAUACGUGAGUAGCGAAGCUAACGCGCUAAGUAGACCGCCUGGGGAGUACGGCCGCAAGGUUAAAACUCAAAUGAAUUGACGGGGGCCCGCACAAGCGGUGGAGCAUGUGGUUUAAUUCGAUGCAACGCGAAGAACCUUACCUACUCUUGACAUCCAGAAAAUUUGGCAGAGAUGCCUCAGUGCCUUCGGGAAUUCUGAGACAGGUGCUGCAUGGCUGUCGUCAGCUC